AGUGAGCGCUGGCGGUAGGCCUAACACAUGCAAGUCGAACGGCAGCACAGUAAGAGCUUGCUCUUACGGGUGGCGAGUGGCGGACGGGUGAGGAAUACAUCGGAAUCUACUUUUUCGUGGGGGAUAACGUAGGGAAACUUACGCUAAUACCGCAUACGACCUACGGGUGAAAGCAGGGGAUCUUCGGACCUUGCGCGAUUGAAUGAGCCGAUGUCGGAUUAGCUAGUUGGGGGGGUAAAGGCCCACCAAGGCGACGAUCCGUAGCUGGUCUGAGAGGAUGAUCAGCCACACUGGAACUGAGACACGGUCCAGACUCCUACGGGAGGCAGCAGUGGGGAAUAUUGGACAAUGGGCGCAAGCCUGAUCCAGCCAUACCGCGUGGGUGAAGAAGGCCUUCGGGUUGUAAAGCCCUUUUGUUGGGAAAGAAAAGCAGCAGGUUAAUACCCCGCUGUUCUGACGGUACCCAAAGAAUAAGCACCGGCUAACUUCGUG
Molecule: ribosomal RNA, 492 nt
Filed under: uncultured bacterium
Lineage: Bacteria
Description: partial 16S ribosomal RNA
Rfam family: Bacterial small subunit ribosomal RNA
Source: RNAcentral